RNAcentral lists this ribosomal RNA (1297 nucleotides) under Vibrio parahaemolyticus. Its description in RNAcentral is "bacterial SSU rRNA". It matches the Rfam family "Bacterial small subunit ribosomal RNA", at positions 42 to 1313 of the family's 1533-position model. The record is from RNAcentral. Lineage: Bacteria; Pseudomonadati; Pseudomonadota; Gammaproteobacteria; Vibrionales; Vibrionaceae.
GCAGGCCUAAACCAUGCAGUCGGCGGAACAGUAUCGAGCCGUCCGGAACGAUAUCGGCGUCAGUCGCGACCGGGUGAGGUAUGCUUAGACUUGACUGAUGUCUUGGGGGAUUAGGGCAUCGAAUCGAGGGCUAAUGCUGCAUGAUGCUACGGUCCCAAAGACGAGAGCGUCGGGCUCUUGCGUCAGGGAUAUGCCUCAGGUGGGAUUAGCUAGUUGGUGAGGGUAAGGGCUCCACCAAGGCGGACGAUCCCUAAGCUGGUCUUGAGAGGAUGAUCAGCCACCACUGGAAACUGAGGACACCGGUCCCAGACUCCUACGGGAGGCAGCAGUGGGGGAAUAUUGCACAAUGGGCGCAAGCCUGAUGCAGGCCAUGCCGCGUGUGUGAAGAAGGCCUUCGGGUUGUAAAGCACUUUCAGUCGUGAGGAAGGUAGUGUAGUUUAUAGCUGCAUUAUUUGACGUUAGCGACAGAAGAAGCACCGGCUAACUCCGUGCCAGCAGCCGCGGUAAUACGGAGGGUGCGAGCGUUAAUCGGAAUUACUGGGCGUAAAGCGCAUGCAGGUGGUUUGUUAAGUCAGAUGUGAAAGCCCGGGGCUCAACCUCGGAAUUGCAUUUGAAACUGGCAGACUAGAGUACUGUAGAGGGGGGUAGAAUUUCAGGUGUAGCGGUGAAAUGCGUAGAGAUCUGAAGGAAUACCGGUGGCGAAGGCGGCCCCCCUGGACAGAUACUGACACUCAGAUGCGAAAGCGUGGGGAGCAAACAGGAUUAGAUACCCUGGUAGUCCACGCCGUAAACGAUGUCUACUUGGAGGUUGUGGCCUUGAGCCGUGGCUUUCGGAGCUAACGCGUUAAGUAGACCGCCUGGGGAGUACGGUCGCAAGAUUAAAACUCAAAUGAAUUGACGGGGGCCCGCACAAGCGGUGGAGCAUGUGGUUUAAUUCGAUGCAACGCGAAGAACCUUACCUACUCUUGACAUCCAGAGAACUUUCCAGAGAUGGAUUGGUGCCUUCGGGAACUUUGAGACAGGUGCUGCAUGGCUGUCGUCAGCUCGUGUUGUGAAAUGUUGGGUUAAGUCCCGCAACGAGCGCAACCCUUAUCCUUGUUUGCCAGCGAGUAAUGUCGGGAACUCCAGGGAGACUGCCGGUGAUAAACCGGAGGAAGGUGGGGACGACGUCAAGUCAUCAUGGCCCUUACGAGUAGGGCUACACACGUGCUACAAUGGCGCAUACAGAGGGCAGCCAACUUGCGAAUAGUGAGCGAAUCCCAAAAAGCGCGUCGUAGUCCGGAUGAGUCUUUCACUG